GUGAGGAAUAUUGGUCAAUGGGCGCAAGCCUGAACCAGCCAUCCCGCGUGCAGGAAGACGGCCCUAUGGGUUGUAAACUGCUUUUCCGGGGGGAGAAUUUUUCCGUCGUGACGGGAAUUGACGGUACCCCGGGAAUAAGCAUCGGCUAACUCCGUGCCAGCAGCCGCGGUAAUACGGAGGAUGCGAGCGUUAUCCGGAUUUAUUGGGUUUAAAGGGUGCGUAGGCGGAAUGAUAAGUCAGUGGUGAAAACCUGCAGCUUAACUGUAGACUUGCCGUUGAUACUGUCAGUCUUGAGUGUGGUCAAGGUAGGCGGAAUGUGUAAUGUAGCGGUGAAAUGCUUAGAUAUUACACAGAACCCCGAUUGCGAAGGCAGCUUACUGGGCCAUUACUGACGCUGAUGCACGAAAGCGUGGGGAUCGAACAGGAUUAGAAACCCGGGUAGUCC
RNAcentral lists this ribosomal RNA (445 nucleotides) under uncultured bacterium. RNAcentral describes it as "partial 16S ribosomal RNA". It matches the Rfam family "Bacterial small subunit ribosomal RNA", at positions 354 to 796 of the family's 1533-position model. The record is from RNAcentral.